UGGGGAAUAUUGCACAAUGGGGGAAACCCUGAUGCAGCGACGCCGCGUGAGUGAAGAAGUAUUUCGGUACGUAAAGCUCUAUCAGCAGGGAAGAAAAUGACGGUACCUGACUAAGAAGCCCCGGCUAACUACGUGCCAGCAGCCGCGGUAAUACGUAGGGGGCAAGCGUUAUCCGGAUUCACUGGGUGUAAAGGGAGCGUAGACGGCGAGACAAGUCUGGAGUGAAAGGCCGGGGCCCAACCCCGGGACUGCUCUGGAAACUGUUGAGCUUGAGUGCAGGAGAGGCAGGCGGAAUUCCUAGUGUAGCGGUGAAAUGCGUAGAUAUUAGGAGGAACACCAGUGGCGAAGGCGGCCUGCUGGACUGUAACUGACGUUGAGGCUCGAAAGCGUGGGGAGCAAACAGG
Molecule: ribosomal RNA, 404 nt
Filed under: uncultured bacterium
Lineage: Bacteria
Description: bacterial SSU rRNA
Rfam family: Bacterial small subunit ribosomal RNA
Source: RNAcentral